CUAUGAUGAAAGAUCCCUUUGGAAACUAUGUUGUCCAGAAGGUGCUCGAGACUUGUGAUGAUCAAAGCCGCGGGCUAAUUGUCUCUCGUAUUAAGGUGCACUUGAAUGCGUUAAAGAAAUACACUUACGGGAAGCAUAUUGUUUCUCGUGUUGAGAAGCUCAUAGCAACUGGAGAGAAGCAUAUGGCAAUAUCCUCUUCUUGAAUUGAAUGACAGAAAACCCCAUAUAACAAGAUGGGAUGGUGGCUCAGCCGCAGCAGCGCCUUUUAGUUGAUUGGAACCUCUACUACUUGUACUUGUAGAUAGACUACACACUUCUUUUUUGCUUCCGUUGGAAUAAGACUUUCAUUUUGUCUUUUCCAUCCGUAUGUAGCCCUCUUAUAAAGUUUAUGCAUAGUUUUUAGAAAGUCAAGAAGGUGUAGUGAGAGGAAGAAUUUGUAUUGACUCUUUUCCUCAAUCAGCAUGUGUAAGUAACUGGGCAAUUAUUUGUAGAGAGAUUGACUGUACAUGAUCGCUUUUCAAUGAUGGAAAAAGCUUGGUAAAAAUGGCUAUCAUGAUGCACUUUGAUGCAUUCGAAC
Molecule: non-coding RNA, 577 nt
Organism: Coffea arabica (coffee)
Lineage: Eukaryota; Viridiplantae; Streptophyta; Magnoliopsida; Gentianales; Rubiaceae
Source: RefSeq, a predicted model, not a curated record